Molecule: ribosomal RNA, 253 nt
Filed under: uncultured bacterium
Lineage: Bacteria
Description: partial 16S ribosomal RNA
Rfam family: Bacterial small subunit ribosomal RNA
Source: RNAcentral
UACGUAGGGUGCAAGCGUUGUCCGGAAUUAUUGGGCGUAAAGCGCUCGUAGGCGGUCUGUCGCGUCGGAUGUGAAAACCCAGGGCUCAACCCUGGGCCUGCAUUCGAUACGGGCAGACUAGAGUUCGGUAGGGGAGACUGGAAUUCCUGGUGUAGCGGUGAAAUGCGCAGAUAUCAGGAGGAACACCGGUGGCGAAGGCGGGUCUCUGGGCCGAUACUGACGCUGAGGCACGAAAGCGUGGGGAGCAAACAGG